GUAGGGAAUUUUCGGCAAUGGGGGCAACCCUGACCGAGCAACGCCGCGUGAGUGAUGAAGGUCUUCGGAUUGUAAAGCUCUGUUGUAAGGGAAGAACGGCAUCUAGAGAAUAGGUGAGUGACGGUACCUUACCAGAAAGCUACGGCUAACUACGUGCCAGCAGCCGCGGUAAUACGUAGGUAGCGAGCGUUAUCCGGAAUUAUUGGGCGUAAAGGGUGCGUAGGCGGCCUGUUAAGUUUAUGGUGAAAGCGUGGGGCUCAACCCCAUAAAGCCAUAGAUACUGGCAGGCUAGAGUACUGGAGAGGGUAGUGGAAUUCCAUGUGUAGCGGUAAAAUGCGUAGAUAUAUGGAGGAACACCGGUGGCGAAGGCGGCUACCUAGACAGAGACUGACGCUGAGGCACGAAAGCGUGGGGAGCAAAUAGGAUUAGAAACCCUAGUAGUCC
Molecule: ribosomal RNA, 444 nt
Filed under: uncultured bacterium
Lineage: Bacteria
Description: bacterial SSU rRNA
Rfam family: Bacterial small subunit ribosomal RNA
Source: RNAcentral